This is a long non-coding RNA of Myotis davidii, 439 nucleotides long. RefSeq lists it as uncharacterized. The transcript has 2 exons. NCBI's taxonomy places the organism in Eukaryota, Metazoa, Chordata, Mammalia, Chiroptera, Vespertilionidae. The record is from RefSeq and is a predicted model, not a curated record.
GUAGCAUGGCGGCUUCCUGUUUUCCCAAGGGUUGGGCGCGCCUGUGCCCAAUGACCGUGGAGGACCUGGGCGAUGGAAGACGGUGCUGGCCUCCUGCCUUAGAAGAGUGUAUUAGUGAACUUGAAAAGAGGAUUAGAGUUAUUGACGUGGCUCCCUGACACUUUCUAGGAAAAGAUACCACUCUCAAGGCUCAGAAGUAUAUUCUGUGUCUUUCCUGCUCAGAGAUUUAUGUUUCUCCUUCACUUUCAGGAUGAGCCCGACGCUGUCUGGCGUAAGAAUCUAAACUCCACCUCAUGUCCUGCCACUCGAUCCACUAAGACCACUGUACUUCCUGCCUUCAGCCAUCUCAGACUGGAUUUUUCAUCAUUAGCAGGAAUAACUUGCAGAAGUGUUAAGAGGUUCAGUCCUAGAGAUGAUUCAACUGCCUUCUUUUUCCUUC